Molecule: unclassified non-coding RNA, 390 nt
Filed under: Hevea brasiliensis (rubber tree)
Lineage: Eukaryota; Viridiplantae; Streptophyta; Magnoliopsida; Malpighiales; Euphorbiaceae
Source: RNAcentral
ACAGCACAGUAUUAACCUUGAACUUGUUGUACAACAUGACUGGAUAAAAUUGCCGGUUCUAGUGAGGAUUCAAUGCUUAUAUUAACAGGCACGCAUAAAUCACAAAUGCACAAUAGUAAAGUAGGCAUGCAACACAAUCAUAAAGAAAAGUGUGAACCUAGGGAUAGACACCUGAUUACAUUAAGCAUAAAGUACACACAUGAAGUAAUUGUCUGACAAACUACCAAUCUACAGAGGAGCUAUCUUUCAUAUGAUGCAAAAUUCCGGUCCUUCGCACAUGCUCACAAAAGGUUCAAGCAUAAAAUGGGAAGAAGGCAGACGCAUACAACACAUGAGAUAAAGGAAAAGCCAUAAGAUACAUCCUCCAACUUUAUGUAGAAGAGGACAAAA